GCCCCGUUCGUCUAGCGGCCUAGGACACCGCCCUCUCACGGCGGCAGCACCGGUUCAAAUCCGGUACGGGGUA
Molecule: transfer RNA, 73 nt
Filed under: Actinomyces urogenitalis
Lineage: Bacteria; Bacillati; Actinomycetota; Actinomycetes; Actinomycetales; Actinomycetaceae
Also listed under: 5 other names
Description: tRNA-Glu
Rfam family: tRNA
About the family: Transfer RNA (tRNA) molecules are approximately 80 nucleotides in length. Their secondary structure includes four short double-helical elements and three loops (D, anti-codon, and T loops). Further hydrogen bonds mediate the characteristic L-shaped molecular structure. tRNAs have two regions of fundamental functional importance: the anti-codon, which is responsible for specific mRNA codon recognition, and the 3' end, to which the tRNAs corresponding amino acid is attached (by aminoacyl-tRNA synthetases). tRNAs cope with the degeneracy of the genetic code in two manners: having more than one tRNA (with a specific anti-codon) for a particular amino acid; and 'wobble' base-pairing, i.e. permitting non-standard base-pairing at the 3rd anti-codon position.
Source: RNAcentral